AUUUGCAUAAUGAUUUAUCAAAGAACAAAAAAUUGGAUUUACCUAGUGAAUAGAAUAUAGUUAAAAAAAAAAU
Molecule: transfer RNA, 73 nt
Filed under: Neustanthus phaseoloides
Lineage: Eukaryota; Viridiplantae; Streptophyta; Magnoliopsida; Fabales; Fabaceae
Description: tRNA-Glu
Source: RNAcentral